AGCUAACCAGGAUUUUCGCCCCUUCCCAAAUGUUCUCCAACAGAAAGUUCCCAGAUGGAUAUGCCGAGCAAAUGAGAAGCAAUCCAUCUGGUGGAGUCAGGUUACCAGUUGCUAUGACAUCCUCCAGAACUACAGGGAUGGCCGGCCUUCACCCUGGUGAAUGCAUGUACGGCCCAAACACUGGUAGUGGUAACCGUAUCCAGUACCGUUCUCCUAAUAGAGAUAUUAACACCCUGGUGAAUGCAUGUACGGCCCAAACACUGGUAGUGGUAACCGUAUCCAGUACCGUUCUCCUAAUGAAGAGAUAUUAACACCCUGGUGAAUGCAUGUACGGCCCAAACACUAACGGUAACCGUAUCCAGUACCGUUCUCCCAAUGAAGACGUUUAUUCACUUCUUCGUCGUGGAAGACUGAGUGCAGGGAACCUCUUUGGCCAGGCAGGUCCCUAUCACCAGGCUAACGUCAGCCUUCAACCAGGUGGCCCCCACUACAGCACCGACUUAGAAUUUCCGCCCCUCAGUGCGAUCGGGCCGAGGACACAGAAGGUUUCAGGCACAAUAGAGCUGUCCUGUGGCUCAGUCUUCUUCUCCUGCCAGACCAUAAAUCACCAAAUGUCCCAAGGCGUGCCAGCACAGCUUGGCCUUUUGUAAAGGGACAUAUUAAAUCUGCCCUGGAAUUUCGCUGUGUUGCAGGCUUUAACGGGGGCCUUCCAGGUUACACAUCUUGAUGCCUUGUCACAACAAACUAGUCGAGCCAUCCCUAACCUCCAAUCAAAAGUUGAGUGGAGGCCCAAAACUCUUCCAUCAAAAGUCCAUUUACGUCAGGCCUGACCAGGCCAGUUUGAGGGAGGAAACCAGUCUUGGUCGUCACGUUAUCUGGUGCGUUGCUACUGAAGAUAUUUCCCCGAUGCCCCUUCAUCUCAGCUGACACCCCCACCAUGUCCACUAGUCCUGCUGUCAUCACUGAGACCCUCAUCCUGUCCAGUGGAUCCUCUGCUAUCUCCAGUGUGUCCCAUGGUCCCCAACCUUCUGGCUAUAUUUCAUCCAGCACAUCCUACAGAUCUUACGGGCUGAGACUGAAUGAUGUAAGAGGCAGUUUCACAGGCAGCCAGCUUAAUCAGUCUCGAUGGUCACAAUGUUCACAUAACACUGGAGAGCUUUGGACUUGGCUCUCUGGUAGGUCCUCCAGCGGACCCGUGCACCUUCUUGGCUCUCUGGUAGGUCCUCCAGCGGACCCGUGCACCUUCUUGGCUCUCUGGUAGGUCCUCCAGCGGACCCGUGCACCUUCUGGAAGUUGAAAACCAUGUCUCUCCAGAAGAUAUUGUAGUUUUGGAUGUGUUUCCAGCUCUGGGUGUGUCUCCCGAGCCCAGCCUUGAGGUCAUCUGAUUUCCACUGGCUCGUACUCGUACUACCAGUUCAUGAACAAUACACUGACUUCAGAUCGGACAUGAAUUUUGCCAGACGCUUCAAUUCCCCCGGAUUGGAAGAGCAUGAGAUGUUAAAAUAACGGAGGGCUUGUAAAGCUUGUUGUGAUCAUUUAUUUUAUAUUAUAUUAUUUAUAAAUGCAAGGUGUAUUUUAGUUUGUUAUCCCACGGAGAAAAUCAAGCACUUGCUGUAAUAAUAUGAAAAAUAUACAGUAAAACAAAGUUUCUGAAGAUAUACCUCAAGCCAUGGCGUUGUGUUUCAGAUUUUAUAAUGUGAACUUUUUUAAGUGUGUUUAGUGUGACACAUUUUCCUUUUUAUUUAAAAACAUAAUUUGGUUAAGAAAAGGUCAUGGUAAGAGUUCAACAAAGAUCAUACAUGGCAGUCUCUCAAAUCUGAUUCAGGGAAGCUAGAUGUGUCCAAACUAAUGUCCAAGGCUAUGGGUC
This is a long non-coding RNA of Sander lucioperca (pikeperch), 1867 nucleotides long. RefSeq lists it as uncharacterized. The transcript is spliced from 6 exons. The record is from RefSeq and is a predicted model, not a curated record. Lineage: Eukaryota; Metazoa; Chordata; Actinopteri; Perciformes; Percidae.